This 253-nucleotide unclassified non-coding RNA is filed under the name uncultured Chitinophagales bacterium. RNAcentral describes it as "contains 16S-23S intergenic spacer region". It matches the Rfam family "Bacterial small subunit ribosomal RNA", at positions 524 to 776 of the family's 1533-position model. The record is from RNAcentral. Lineage: Bacteria; Pseudomonadati; Bacteroidota; Chitinophagia; Chitinophagales.
UACGGAGGGUGCAAGCGUUAUCCGGAAUCACUGGGUUUAAAGGGUGCGUAGGCGGAUAGAUAAGUCAGAGGUGAAAGCUCCCAGCUUAACUGGGGAAUUGCCUUUGAUACUGUUUAUCUUGAAUUAUGUUGAGGUUAGCGGAAUGUGACAUGUAGCGGUGAAAUGCAUAGAUAUGUCAUAGAACACCAAUUGCGAAGGCAGCUAGCUAGGCAUAUAUUGACGCUGAGGCACGAAAGCGUGGGGAGCGAACAGG